CACGCCGUAAACGAUGGAUACUAGCUGUUGGGAGUAAUCUCAGUGGCUAAGCGAAAGUGAUAAGUAUCCCACCUGGGGAGUACGAACGCAAGUUUGAAACUCAAAGGAAUUGACGGGGGC
This 120-nucleotide ribosomal RNA is filed under the name uncultured bacterium. Its description in RNAcentral is "partial 16S ribosomal RNA". It matches the Rfam family "Bacterial small subunit ribosomal RNA", at positions 796 to 920 of the family's 1533-position model. The record is from RNAcentral.